UCAGGAUUUUGGCUAGCCUGUCUCCCUAGGCCUCUCACUGUGCUCCAUGCCAGAGCAAACUAUGGCCCUGAACCAUUGCUUGACCUUUGCCAGUGUGUUGUGGGCAUUGGAGCAGGUUUCACAGUG
Molecule: small nucleolar RNA, 126 nt
Filed under: Sorex araneus (European shrew)
Lineage: Eukaryota; Metazoa; Chordata; Mammalia; Eulipotyphla; Soricidae
Description: Small nucleolar RNA SNORA42/SNORA80 family (ENSSARG00000014658.1)
Source: RNAcentral